RNAcentral lists this ribosomal RNA (244 nucleotides) under uncultured Lactobacillus sp. RNAcentral describes it as "partial 16S ribosomal RNA". It matches the Rfam family "Bacterial small subunit ribosomal RNA", at positions 119 to 354 of the family's 1533-position model. Lineage: Bacteria; Bacillati; Bacillota; Bacilli; Lactobacillales; Lactobacillaceae. The record is from RNAcentral.
GGGUAACCUGCCCAAGAGAUCGGGAUAACACCUAGGAAACAGAUGCUAAUACCGGAUAACAACAGAUGAUGCCUAUCAACUGUUUAAAAGAUGGUUCUGCUAUCACUCUUGGAUGGACCUGCGGUGCAUUAGCUAGUUGGUAGGGUAACGGCCUACCAAGGCGAUGAUGCAUAGCCGAGUUGAGAGACUGAUCGGCCACAUUGGGACUGAGACACGGCCCAAACUCCUACGGGAGGCAGCAGGC